CAUCUUCAACCAGUGGACACUUUAAAAUUAAAUGGAAAUAUUGUUAAUUAAUUAACAGAACUAAUCACAAGAUGAACAAUUAACAAACCAAAUUAAGAGGCGAUCUCGUUACUAAGGGAGAUCAACCCUUCGUCGAUAUCAAUUGGCCAAUAGAAAUCGUUUUAAUCGAUAUUCGAUUAAUUAUCUAAUAUCUGAUAUCUAAUUUUAAUUUUUUUCUUUUUGUUUUUAUCUUAAUUGUAAUUUUUUCCCAAUUAAUUUCACUUCUAAUUAAGUUAAUUUUACCUUUAAUUCAAUUUGAAAUUAACUAAUUUCCCGAUUAUUUUCACUCUUUUACUCUUAUUGUUUGUUUACCUUUUUGUUUUCUUCUUAUCAAGUGAUCGCCAUUUUGGUUUUAAAAUUUUCUAUUUUUUUCAAAUUCUUUUUCCCUCUUGACUUUAACGAGAAUGGAUUAUAAAUAAAUUGUUUUAAUCAAUGAACAAUUUAAGGAAAUUAUGUUUGUUUUCAUGAAUCGUUUUCCUGGUUUUCUGGUUUUUUUUUCUCUCUCUUGAUGAUCAACAAUUAUUUUCUCUACUUUUUUUCUCUUGAUUACUUGGUGGUGGUUGUGUUAACAAAGAAAGUGAAAAAAGAAGACAAUAGUAAACGUGCCAAUUGAGAAAUAGACUGAAAUCCUGUUGAAUUGUCAAAAUCUUCUGGUUCAAUUGGAUUGGAGAACCGUUGAAUCGUCCUUCUUGUCCCAUUCUUUCAUCUGAAUUUCGUUUUUUUUCCUUCACUUGUGUGCAAUUCAUCAUUGGAAACAAAUGUAAAUCAGUCUGUGUUUUUGGUGCUAAAUGAGUUAAUUGUUGUUCCUACAGUAACAAUUAUCUUUUCACAUUCGUGUACCGUUAAUGUAUCACAAUCGGUAUAAUAAGACGUGUGUAGAUAUCAUACUAACCAUAAAACCCAAAUAUCUUUUCAAAUACAAAUUACUUUUGAAAAGGAAGGAGAUAAAAGUGGAAGUUAUAGUAAAUUCCGUUGAAAGAUCAUGAUUAUCAUGAUUAUAAUCAUUCAUCCUUUUCUUUUUUACCUAAUAGAUGAUUAAGAAGAGAGAAAGACUCACAAUAUUCUUAAAAAAGAAACUUUCAAUUCAUGAGAUUUGGUGAAAAAGAAAAGAUUUAUCCCAAUUUUCUAAUACCUGUUCAUCUUCCGUAUCUACACCUUUACCUUUCCAUCCUAAUAUAACUUUAUUGCUACGUAACAUUAAAUUGUAAUCUAUUUUCUCUUGUUGUGAACAAAUUUGAUUACAAUUUGCAACAACAACAACAACAAUAGAUACAAAUAGUGAAUUCAAAUAAAUUGAAUUCAAAUUGAUUCCCGUUAACAUAAACACUUCCAUGUAUUCAAUUGAAAACCUAAUUUAACUUAAUGAGGAAAAAAAAAGUUCUGAUUAUUUUGUUUACAAAACCACAAAACAAUUUAACUUUUAACAUUCAAUUUCAGAGCAAUGGCCAUUUUCAUGGGAUAAACAAACCAACAAACAACUGACCUUCAAGAAAAGUUCAUUGAAUCAUGGAAACAUUUUCCCUCCAACUUAUUAUAUGGAAAACCUUGAAUUUUGAAACAUUAUCACAUAUUUGGUGCAAAUUUUCAAGUUCAUCUUACGAUUUAUCAUGAAAAAUGAGAAAAGAUUAACAUGCAAAUGAAUUCAACGAAAUGAUGAUGAUGAUGAUAUGAUCUAUUCAUCAAUCAUUGAAACAAAGUUAUCAUAAGAUUGUUUAUAAACCUUGGAACUAAAUUCUUAUUAUGUAAAAGACACGCAAUUUUAAUUUCUCAAUCCUAAUCAACUCGAUUUGAUGAUGAUCAGGGUAAUGAUUAAUUUUUAAUUCUAUUAAUUUGAACUUCCUAAUCAAGAGAAAAGAAAAACAAAAUUAAGGUUUGGUUUAAAUAGUGACGAUUAAAAUUAACGAAUGAUUUUUAUUUCCGUUGAUUAUAAUUCCCAUGAUAAUGAACAAUCAAUCCAAUGAUGAUUUAAUUGGAUAAUCAGCUGAUUACGUAUGAUUGAUUCAUGGAAGUCAAUUAAAAUUUGAACUUUAUGAAAAGUUAAUUAUCAAGUUGAUCAUAAUUAUCUAAUAAAUGAUCAGUAAAUGAUUUUAUUCAAAUGAUUUAAAGAUCAGAAUUUUAGAAACUUUUUUUUCGUCUGAAAAAGUUUCGAAUGUGAUUUUUUUUCUUCUUUUUUUCUGUUCAUCUUCAUCAUCUUCAUCAUCAUCUCAUGUUACACUUGAUUAUCAUGAUUUAAUGAUCACUUGAUUAACAGUUAAUGUCAAUUGAUUGAGGUGAAAAAAAGUUAAUAGUUAACAAGAGACUGAGAAAGUUGGUUGAUAAAAAAUGAGAUAUUUUCAUCUUGAUCAUGAUGAUUAUUAUUAUCUUGAUCAUCUCUAGGUUAUCAUCAUCAUCAUCAUGAUUAUCAUCAUGCUGACAAAGGCCAGAAAUGUUAAUUUGUAUCAAAUUAAGAUUUUGAUUAACAAUCAAUACUUGAUUGUUACUUUUCAUCUUAUUAUGAUUCAUUAAUCACUAUCAAUAGAUUUUAGUUUAAUAAUAUCACAUAUAAAUAAUGGUCAUCACUUUGAUGUAACUGAUUGUUAUAAUCAACUGAUUUAAAUUGUUUAAAUCAUAAUUGUGAUUCUGAUCAUAAAAGUGAUGACAAGGAAUCAAAUUUUUACAAAAGUAAUCAGCUAAUCAUUAAUACAAUUGGUUAACUUUAGGUGAUUGAUUAACUGAAUCACUUUUAAUUGCCUUACUGAUUGUUCCCAAUUUAUCCUCAACAAUUAACAAUCUAAUUUGAUUACUAUUUGAUUUACUGACCAUUAAUAUCAAUCACGUUAUUGGUUCAUUUAAUUCAAUGUUAAUUAUAUUUCUGCUUUGUUAAUAACUGAAUUACUUUUAAUUUAGUUCUGAUUA
Molecule: long non-coding RNA, 2934 nt
Organism: Panonychus citri (citrus red mite)
Lineage: Eukaryota; Metazoa; Arthropoda; Arachnida; Trombidiformes; Tetranychidae
Exons: 3
Source: RefSeq, a predicted model, not a curated record